UUACUCAAAAUUUUAAUUUUUCAAAACUCCCAUAAAAUUUCAUUUCCCACACUUACACAAAAUUUUAAUUUUUCAAAACCCUAUUCUCCUUCCAUCCUCCAAAAUUUUCUAAAAGCCUUUGAAACCCUAUUAUUCCGCAAAACUCCACCACCGUUGUGUGAUGCUGGUUCCAGACGCUGCAGUGCACCCUUCCAAAUACUGCACAAAGCUCAUAUCUCAACCUUAUUCCCAAGCCAAAACCUCUAAACUGCGUUCCCAAAUCAAAGCUCUGAACCUUGUUCCCAAAUCCAAAAGCAAAAUCCUAUAGCUAAUUAGUUUCCAAAUCCAAUGUAUAAACCUCGUUGCGAAAUCGAAACCCAAAUCCCAAAAUCGAAAUCUGAGAGCGAA
This 387-nucleotide long non-coding RNA is filed under the name Phaseolus vulgaris (common bean). RNAcentral's name for it is "long non-coding RNA (PVUL_LNC000709)". The record is from RNAcentral. Lineage: Eukaryota; Viridiplantae; Streptophyta; Magnoliopsida; Fabales; Fabaceae.